UACAAAAAGCGUUAAAGCUUCAUUGUUUUUAUCAAAAAUACCAUUAAUUAACUGUAACCCUUCACCGGUACUGAAUGAUCUCAUAGUGGUAUGAGAGCCUAUAUGUUAGAACUAGUAACAAGAAGAAGCCCUUCUCCAAAAUGUAAGCAUGAGCCAAAAUGAACUAUUCACUGGCACUUAAAGUUAUAAACCUAUUGUAGCAACUUAACAAGAAAAACCUACAACUGCAAACGUCAACCUUACACCAGCACAUUUCUGGAAAGAUAAAAAGAAUAGGAAGGAACUCGGCAAAUAACUAACCCCGCCUGUUUACCAAAAACAUCGCCUCCUGAUCACCCAUAGGAGGUCCAGCCUGCCCAGUGACUAAGUUAAACGGCCGCGGUACCCUAACCGUGCAAAGGUAGCGCAAUCACUUGUUCUUUAAAUGAGGACUAGUAUGAACGGCAUCACGAGGGUUAUGCUGUCUCCCUACUCUACUCAGUGAAACUGAUCUCCCCGUGAAGAAGCGGGGAUAAAAAUAUAAGACGAGAAGACCCCAUGGAGCUUUAAACUCAGUACCAACUGCCCAAAUAAUAGCCUAUUACCCCUGCAGCUAUGGUUACUAGUUUUCGGUUGGGGUGACCACGGAGUAAAAUUUAACCUCCACGAUGAAAGGAACUAAUAUCCUAACCUAUGAGCUACAGCUCUAAGUAUCAACAAAUUGACUAAUUGACCCAAUUACUUGAUCAACGAACCAAGUUACCCUGGGGAUAACAGCGCAAUCCAUUUCAAGAGCUCAUAUCGACAAAUGGGUUUACGACCUCGAUGUUGGAUCAGGGUAUCCCAGUGGCGCAGCCGCUACUAACGGUUC
This 850-nucleotide ribosomal RNA is filed under the name Microhyla mukhlesuri. Its description in RNAcentral is "partial large subunit ribosomal RNA". It matches the Rfam family "Bacterial large subunit ribosomal RNA", at positions 1124 to 2574 of the family's 2925-position model. The record is from RNAcentral. Lineage: Eukaryota; Metazoa; Chordata; Amphibia; Anura; Microhylidae.